This 70-nucleotide non-coding RNA is filed under the name Acidobacteriota bacterium. Its description in RNAcentral is "Acidobacteria bacterium Fluoride sequence". It matches the Rfam family "Fluoride riboswitch aptamer (crcB RNA motif)". The record is from RNAcentral. Lineage: Bacteria; Pseudomonadati; Acidobacteriota.
CGUCUCGUUGGUGGUGGAGUCCACCUGAACCGCCGGCCCCGACUGGACGGCCAAUGACUCCUGCGGCGAU